RNAcentral lists this ribosomal RNA (455 nucleotides) under uncultured bacterium. Its description in RNAcentral is "bacterial SSU rRNA". It matches the Rfam family "Bacterial small subunit ribosomal RNA", at positions 34 to 507 of the family's 1533-position model. The record is from RNAcentral.
CGCUGGCGGCGUGCCUAACACAUGCAAGUCGAACGAGGUCCAUCCUUCGGGAGAAGACCUAGUGGCGAACGGGUGAGUAACAAGUGAGAAACCUGCCCCGAAGACCGGGAUAACCCUCCGAAAGGAGAGCUAAUACCGGAUGCCCCACCGAGCCGCAUGGCUUGGUGAGGAAAUGGAUUCCGCUUCGGGAGGGUCUCGCGGCCUAUCAGCUAGUUGGUGGGGUAACGGCCCACCAAGGCAUCGACGGGUAGCUGGUCUGAGAGGACGAUCAGCCACACUGGGACUGAGACACGGCCCAGACUCCUACGGGAGGCAGCAGUGGGGAAUCUUGCGCAAUGGGCGAAAGCCUGACGCAGCAACGCCGCGUGGGGGAUGAAGGCUCUCGGGUUGUAAACCCCUUUCAGCAGGGACGAAAUCAGACGGUACCUGCAGAAGAAGCUCCGGCUAACUACGUG